UACAGAGGGGGCAAGCGUUGUUCGGAAUUACUGGGCGUAAAGGGCGCGUAGGCGGCCUUCUAAGUCAGACGUGAAAUCCCUCAGCUUAACUGGGGAACUGCGUCUGAUACUGGAUGGCUUGGAUCCGGGAGAGGGAUGCGGAAUUCCAGGUGUAGCGGUGAAAUGCGUAGAUAUCUGGAGGAACACCGGUGGCGAAGGCGGCAUCCUGGACCGGUAUUGACGCUGAGGAGCGAAAGCCAGGGGAGCAAACGGG
This 253-nucleotide ribosomal RNA is filed under the name uncultured bacterium. Its description in RNAcentral is "partial 16S ribosomal RNA". It matches the Rfam family "Bacterial small subunit ribosomal RNA", at positions 524 to 776 of the family's 1533-position model. The record is from RNAcentral.